GUUAGCCCCGUCUCGGAGUCGCCAAGGUCUUUUCGAGGGUCUAGUAAGUUAGCCCUCAGGUUAGUUGACCAUAGUUAUAGUUUAGAGUCUUAAGUAGAAGGAGAUAACUCUUGGAGGACUCGGACGCCCAUCACAAAUUGAUGGCACUAUAAAUUUUAUUUUUAUGAAAAGUAUUGUUACAUCAUUGGUAAUAUGUGCGGA
RNAcentral lists this long non-coding RNA (201 nucleotides) under Elaeis guineensis (African oil palm). RNAcentral's name for it is "long non-coding RNA (EGUI_LNC020479)". The record is from RNAcentral. Lineage: Eukaryota; Viridiplantae; Streptophyta; Magnoliopsida; Arecales; Arecaceae.